This 203-nucleotide non-coding RNA is filed under the name unclassified sequences. The record is from Rfam.
UGUUGAGGCGACGGUCUUGACACGGGAGUGACUGAAUAAACUUGCUGGCAUAAGGCUAGUUAAGGUGAUGAGACACAGGUGGUGCUGCUGCUCGCAAGAGUAGAACCGACCUACCAGUCGGGUCUCAGAUAGUACAGUAAAAAUCUACUCAAUGUAGCAAUGCCCUGUACUUGUUGGUAAACAUGAACCCAACCUCCCACCCC